This is a long non-coding RNA of Rhipicephalus microplus (southern cattle tick), 649 nucleotides long. NCBI's taxonomy places the organism in Eukaryota, Metazoa, Arthropoda, Arachnida, Ixodida, Ixodidae. The record is from RefSeq and is a predicted model, not a curated record.
CAUACGCACGUUUGAAGCGCAUGUUUCUUUCUAGUAACUGUGACGCUGGGCGCCUCCCGAAAGCCAUUAGCUAAUUGUGGGUGAUGAUAACGCUGUCGCCAGCCGGCGCCUAAGUUCUUAUCAGCUCAUGAAUGUUCCUUCAGGCUGCUUACUAUCGCACCUAUCGCAGAGCAGUGCGGCUGGAAAGCGAAAACAUCGUACAGACCUCCUAAAAGGUGCCGGAUAACUCUGCUUGUUGUCCCCCAAGGCAGGCGCGCGGUGCUGCAUCGUAAAUCUCUGGGUCAGCUCAGCUUGCGCGUGUACACUUGCAUCGCAGUGCAUGUCCAGAAAUUUCCUGCCGGUGGCGUUCCUGCAACUUCGCAAUUUCCUGUUCGCGAGCCUCUUUGUCUCGAACCUUGUGCUGCUCCAAGUCUGUCCGCAUGCGCUCCAGCACUGCACUGACUUCCUUCAACUUUUCUGCUUCACACUGUUUUUGGACCUGCGUGCCAGCAAAUGCAAGCCAUGUGAAGACAGGGAGGUACCUGUACAUACUCCAAUGCAUUCGAACAUGGCUGAAAUCUAAAGCAAUGUAAAACAACGGCAUGGGAGAUGAGAAGAAUAACUCGAAGAAAAAUAAGACGUGCGUCUGCAUUACAUAGUCUCGUGUUUU